RNAcentral lists this transfer RNA (85 nucleotides) under Chthoniobacterales bacterium. RNAcentral's name for it is "tRNA-Leu". It matches the Rfam family "tRNA". From Rfam's summary of the family: Transfer RNA (tRNA) molecules are approximately 80 nucleotides in length. Their secondary structure includes four short double-helical elements and three loops (D, anti-codon, and T loops). Further hydrogen bonds mediate the characteristic L-shaped molecular structure. tRNAs have two regions of fundamental functional importance: the anti-codon, which is responsible for specific mRNA codon recognition, and the 3' end, to which the tRNAs corresponding amino acid is attached (by aminoacyl-tRNA synthetases). tRNAs cope with the degeneracy of the genetic code in two manners: having more than one tRNA (with a specific anti-codon) for a particular amino acid; and 'wobble' base-pairing, i.e. permitting non-standard base-pairing at the 3rd anti-codon position. The record is from RNAcentral. Lineage: Bacteria; Pseudomonadati; Verrucomicrobiota; Spartobacteria; Chthoniobacterales.
GCCGGCGUGGCGAAAUGGCAGACGCAACGGACUUAAAAUCCGUUGGGGCGAAAGCUCCGUGCGGGUUCGAGUCCCGCCGCCGGCA